CGGCCUUAUCUGAUGUGACAUGGCGGACACCACCUUGAGAGCUACGCGGACACCCUGCCGAUGAUUAAUUCAAGCUCAGAAGACACGAAGAGGAUCGGCUCUCCGUGUUUACCCCUGCAGACGCCUCUCCUAAACUGAGGAUGACUCCCUGGCAUGACACACAGGCGUGUAAUAAGGCUGAAUCAUUCGCAGCGAAUGAUGUCGAUACUUCCUGAGCAGAUUCAAACAGCCACCGAGGUGAAUGACCAAUUAACGACAGCAUCUCAACAAACAAGAUGCUGGAUGUCUCGGGUUGACUGAGUUGCUGACGACAGCUGUAUGGGUGAGUUUCUUUUUGAUGUCCCGGAAGAUGAAGAGAGAUACAGAGAUGCCUG
Long non-coding RNA from Eleginops maclovinus (Patagonian blennie), 374 nucleotides. RefSeq lists it as uncharacterized. The transcript has 3 exons. Lineage: Eukaryota; Metazoa; Chordata; Actinopteri; Perciformes; Eleginopidae. The record is from RefSeq and is a predicted model, not a curated record.